UACGGAGGGUGCAAGCGUUGUCCGGAUUUAUUGGGUUUAAAGGGUGCGUAGGCGGCUAUUUAAGUCAGUGGUGAAAUCCAACAGCUUAACUGUUGAACUGCCAUUGAUACUGGAUGGCUUGAGUACAGACGAGGUAGGCGGAAUUUAUGGUGUAGCGGUGAAAUGCAUAGAUACCAUAAAGAACACCGAUUGCGAAGGCAGCUUACUAGGCUGUAACUGACGCUGAGGCACGAAAGUGUGGGGAUCAAAC
RNAcentral lists this ribosomal RNA (250 nucleotides) under uncultured bacterium. RNAcentral's name for it is "partial 16S ribosomal RNA". It matches the Rfam family "Bacterial small subunit ribosomal RNA", at positions 524 to 773 of the family's 1533-position model. The record is from RNAcentral.